AGAGUUUGAUCCUGGCUCAGGAUGAACGCUGGCGGCGUGCUUAACACAUGCAAGUCGAACGGGAAGCUUGCCUUCGGGUAAGCAGAGAGUGGCGCACGGGUGCGUAACACGUGGCUCAUCUACCCUCAAGAGGGGGAUAACUUUGGGAAACCAGAGCUAAUACCCCAUAAGCUCACGGACUGUAGAGGUCAGUGAGAAAAAGCUAAGACGCUUGAGGAUGAGGCUGCGGUCCAUCAGCUAGUUGGUGAGGUAAGAGCUCACCAAGGCGACGACGGAUAGGGGACCUGAGAGGGUGGACCCCCACACUGGCACUGAGACACGGGCCAGACUCCUACGGGAGGCAGCAGUGAGGAAUAUUGCACAAUGGGCGCAAGCCAGAUGCAGCGACGCCGCGUGGGUGAUGAAGGUUUUCGGAUCGUAAAACCCUUUUCUGUGUGACGAGAACAAGGACGGUAGCACAGGAAUAAGUCUCGGCUAACUACGUGCCAGCAGCCGCGGUAAAACGUAGGAGGCGAGCGUUAUCCGGAGUUACUGGGCGUAAAGCGCGUGUAGGUGGUUGUUUAGGUCAGUCGUGAAAGCUCCCAGGCUAAACCGGGAGAGGUCGAAUGAGACCGGACAACUAGAGUACAGCAGAGGGGCAUAGAAUUCCGGGUGUAGUGGUGAAAUGCGUAGAUAUCCGGAGGAAUACCAGUGGCGAAGGCGGUGCCCUGGGCUGAAACUGACACUGAGACGCGAAAGCGUGGGGAGCGAACGGGAUUAGAGACCCCGGUAGUCCACGCUGUAAACGAUGCAUACUAGGUGUACGUCUCACUACGGUGAGGGGUGUGCCGAAGCUAACGCGACAAGUAUGCCGCCUGAGGAGUACGGUCGCAAGGCUAAAACUCAAAGGAAUUGACGGGGGCCCGCACAAGCAGCGGAGCGUGUGGUUUAAUUCGAAAAUACGCGAAGAACCUUACCUAGGCUUGACAUCCCGCGAACGACCUGGAAACAGGAAGGGUCCUUCGGGAGGCGGAGACAGGUGCUGCAUGGCUGUCGUCAGCUCGUGCCGUGAGGUGUUCGGUUAAGUCCGCAAACGAGCGCAACCCUCGGGGUCAGUUACAAGUGUCUGGCCCGACUGCCUGUGAGAAACAGGAGGAAGGUGGGGAUGACGUCAAGUCAGCAUGGCCUUUAUGUCUAGGGCUACACACACGCUACAAUGGCGCGUACAAAGGGUCGCGAAGCCGCGAGGUGGAGCCAAUCUCAGAAAGCGCGUCGUAGUUCGGAUUGCAGGCUGCAACUCGCCUGCAUGAAGUCGGAGUUGCUAGUAACCGCAGAUCAGCUACGCUGCGGUGAAUACGUUCCCGGGCCUUGUACACG
Molecule: ribosomal RNA, 1356 nt
Filed under: metagenome
Description: bacterial SSU rRNA
Rfam family: Bacterial small subunit ribosomal RNA
Source: RNAcentral